GGUUCAGCACGUGCAGGAAGUGCCCUGGAAAUACCAAGCUUAUUUUGAAAUUUAUCAUGGAAAACAUGAUAGAGCAUAUGCAUACAUUUAAAAAAUGUGGCCCUACUCAAUCUGGUCAACUAAAUGUCUUCAGUCCUCUUAAACACGGGCCAUGGGAACCGCAUCCAGAUUCCUCAUCUUUCCAAAGAACCGGCCAGAUUGUAUCAGUUGUUUUGAAAUGAUCGGUUGCGGGACCCGCUCUUCCAGCUAAAGUUUUCUGCAGAAGGUCUGGCGAAGCUAUGUAUGGGUCUGGCACAUGGAUGGAUAUGACGGUCUCUUUAAGUUGUGUCCAGUCUUCUGUUAUUAUACUGCACACUUGGGAUAAAUUAUGAUGGGUUCCGCCAAGUUGCCCUCAGAGAAGUUUUUCGAUCUUAUACUCCUCCCAACUUGCCCCAUGUGAGGGACCAGCUCCCCCCACGUUCAUAAGAGCAUCUGCAGAGUUUCACAGAGCAAAACGAUUCUGUCCACACCCUGGGGCUCCGGCACUCCAAACAGACUAUUUUUAGUAAGGAAAGACUUUUUUUUUUUUUUUUUAAGGGGAAACGGCACUUCUGUAUUUUUGGAUGUGCUUCCUAAGAAAAUAAGACGUAAUAACAAAGCAAUCUGUUCUGAGGAAUUUUGUUCCCUGACCAAGUUUAAUUUAUAUGAGACAAUCUUCAACCCGAUCUUAACCUCUCACUCCCGGAAAGACCGAAUUCAGUCUCUAAAAUCAUCGGCUUCUAUGGCUAGACUAUUACUUUUUCCCAGAUGAACAUUUCAUGCAUAAGAGAACGGAAAAAAAUACUCAGUGCUGAUUUCACUUGGGACUGUUAUUAUCUAAAUAGACUUGCAUGCUGUCCUGGGAGAUCGAGUGGGAACAGCAGCGAACAUCAAGGCCUCGUCUCUCUUAAUGAUGGCAAGAUAAUGGCUUUCGGUGUUGGGUGGUGCCAGCUACAAUGCCAGCUGCUGGCAUAUUUAUUUAGGGAGGGCUUCCGGCAGGACAAAGGAUCCACAGGGAGGAGAAAGAACAAAGACACUUUAAAUCCACCUCAGUCCGCAGCAGGAGGAAACACUCUUCCAUUUUAUUUUGAAAAUUAUGCUUUUACUUCCUGAAGCCAGCAGGACAUCUAGUGUCUCUAUACAUAAAAAAAUUGUGUGCCAGCAAUGUUGGAAUGCAGGUGUUUUCCUUCAAAUGAUCCCCUACAACCAGAAGACUCAGCUAACUCAGAGCUCGAGAGCCCAAAUUGGUGACCACAACACUUUCCUCUUCCUUAGUGACAAG
Long non-coding RNA from Mustela erminea (ermine), 1300 nucleotides. RefSeq lists it as uncharacterized. The record is from RefSeq and is a predicted model, not a curated record. The transcript has 5 exons. NCBI's taxonomy places the organism in Eukaryota, Metazoa, Chordata, Mammalia, Carnivora, Mustelidae.